RNAcentral lists this long non-coding RNA (200 nucleotides) under Lathyrus oleraceus (garden pea). Its description in RNAcentral is "Pisum sativum (pea) long non-coding RNA (PSAT_LNC015461)". Lineage: Eukaryota; Viridiplantae; Streptophyta; Magnoliopsida; Fabales; Fabaceae. The record is from RNAcentral.
AAAACAAAAGAGGCGUUUGGUGAUCCCCGUGUGACAAGCAAGAGCACUUAUGACCAGGAGACAACCAAAUGUAUGAUCUUGUAUGCAUUUAAAACAAUGUGGAUGAUGCGAGAUCUUAGGGGGGAAAAUUAGGGUAUAACAAACAUUAUUAUUCUAAUAAUUAAUUAAAAUUAUAGUAAUCUCUAAACAACUAAACCAAU